AACGAACGCUGGCGGCAUGCCUAACACAUGCAAGUCGAACGAGACCUUCGGGUCUAGUGGCGCACGGGUGCGUAACGCGUGGGAACCUGCCCUUAGGUUCGGAAUAACUCCCCGAAAGGGGUGCUAAUACCGGAUAAUGUCUUCGGACCAAAGAUUUAUCGACUUUGGAUGGGCCCGCGUUGGAUUAGCUAGUUGGUAGGGUAAAAGCCUACCAAGGCGACGAUCCAUAGCUGGUCUGAGAGGAUGAGCAGCCACACUGGGACUGGGACACGGCCCAGACUCCUACGGGAGGCAGCAGUGGGGAAUAUUGGAAAAUGGGCGGAAGCAUGAUCCAGCAAUGCCGCGUGAGUGAUGAAGGCCUUAGGGUUGUAAAGCUCUUUUACCCGGGAUGAUAAUGACAGUACCGGGAGAAUAAGCUCCGGCUAACUCCGUG
This 433-nucleotide ribosomal RNA is filed under the name uncultured bacterium. RNAcentral's name for it is "partial 16S ribosomal RNA". It matches the Rfam family "Bacterial small subunit ribosomal RNA", at positions 29 to 507 of the family's 1533-position model. The record is from RNAcentral.